AUUUUAAUCUGUGGACAGCAGAAAAAAAAUAGCAUGUUCACAGUCAGAAUGUGGAAGGUGAGCGAGGUAGAAGGUCUCUCCGAGAACAGAGGAACGAGGGAAUGGAAGGUGAGCGAGGUAGGUCUCUCCUAGAACAGAGGAAUGAGUCCCUGCUGAGGACCCUUGCAUGUCUGUGUGCAAUGUCUCUGUCUGUGUUAGCGUAGUUGUGACUCUCAAUGUCUGCGCAACAAAAUGUCUCUGUGAAGUUGAAAGUGCUCCACUGUUCAGUGUGUGUGUGUGUGUGGUGUGUGUUUCUGUCCUCGUGUCUGUGUAUCACAGGAGGAGCACACACCUCUAAAUGCGUCCCUGGCAUUGUAACAUUUAAUGUGUCAUUUAAAUCCGUGAGGGAUUAUAGCUCUGCUGUCAAAAGGAGCAAAAAAGCUCCUUGAAUCCAUUUGUUUUUUAAAGGACCAUCUCAGCCGGAUGGAUAGUCGGUGGGCAGCGGUGGUGAUUUGGAGCCUGGGUCAUGCUAAGAGUCCAGAGGAAAGCGUGGCACGGAACAAGUCUGUCCUAGAUUAAGAGCCUGCUCUAAUCCUCCAUUUCUGCGCACACAUUGGGUUUCCCUCAAUCUCAGCCUGACCGUCCUAAUGGGAGAACUAAAGCUGGAGGCCACAUAAUCACAACGUUAAAAGCCGCGAGAGAGGCAGAGAAAGAGAUACAGAGAGAGACAGGGAAAUAGUAAAUAAAAGAGUGUGUGUGAGAGAUGAACAGCUUGAUUGGGUUCAGUCCAGGUUGCAAAAGUCAUGUAACGUCCCCAGUGGAAAACAUUCCCGCAGUGUGAGGUGCAGUCAGGGUCCUGUUUGUCUGGACAACACCACCCCGGGGGCCUGGGAGUUUGUGGGCUCCUUGUCCAGGUACAGGCUGAAGUGCUGGAUGCUGCAGGAGCCUCUCGCUGGCCAGGGACAGGUUCUUAUCCCAGUUGGGUGGGUAGCCUGUGUGCCUCUCCACGAUUUCCUUACAUAGCUGUCAAUCACAAAGAACACAACUUGUAUACAAUGACCAUAACAAGCACCACUGUACAAAUCUUGACCAUAUACUGUAUGUGAUUAUGGUUAAUGCUCAUACACCCAUUUGUUUGCUAUGGGAGGACUGACUCUCUGUGUAGGAUAGCUCAAACAGGCGAGCUUUCUCCUCUCCCUGGAUCCUCUCAGCCAGGUCAAACAGGCGAGCUUUCUCCUCUCCCUGGAUCCUCUCAGCCAGGUCAAACAGGCGAGCUUUCUCCUCUCCCUGGAUCCUCUCAGCCAGGUCAAACAGGCCAGCUUUCUCCUCUCCCUGGAUCCUCUCAGCCAGGUCAAACAGACCAGCUUUCUCCUCUUCCUGGAUCCUCUCAGCCAGGUCAAACAGGCCAGCUUUCUCCUCUCCCUGGAUCCUCUCAGCCAGGUCAAACAGAAAGAAAGCCGUCUUCAUCCUGAAACAAAGAGACCAUAUCACAGGCUCAGAGCUAAGUUCUGGAUGGAUGAACUGUGGAGAUUUAUCCACAGAGAUGCACUAGGAGAAUAUAGUGAUUUAUGUAGAUGCUAG
Molecule: long non-coding RNA, 1560 nt
Organism: Oncorhynchus tshawytscha (Chinook salmon)
Lineage: Eukaryota; Metazoa; Chordata; Actinopteri; Salmoniformes; Salmonidae
Source: Ensembl